RNAcentral lists this long non-coding RNA (499 nucleotides) under Gallus gallus (chicken). RNAcentral's name for it is "lncRNA (ENSGALG00010014529.1)". Lineage: Eukaryota; Metazoa; Chordata; Aves; Galliformes; Phasianidae. The record is from RNAcentral.
CUUGUCCAAAGGAGUUUAACAUGUAAAUGUUCCAGCAGUGCGGCUCCCAGUGAGAAGGCAUGCCCGUUAAUUAAGGCCCCCGGGACCGCAUGGUUGCAAUGAGGGAGGGAUGAGCUCUGUGCAUGCAGAAAGGCCUGCUGCUGUUUUCUCUAUGGUAGGGCCCUUUUGACUGAGAGCUAUGCAUGUGUGGGUGAGCUCUGCUGGUUGCUGGGAUGAUUUGCUGUAGGGCAAGACCUUCAGGUACUUCAUGGGAGGAGAGGCUCCAGGAGGAGAGCCUGUGCCCCGCUGCGGUGCCUUGCAGCUCCUGUGUGAGGAUGAACCAGAAGGGAAGAUCCCAGACUGGCUCUUCAGGAUCUGGUUCCUGGGCUGUCCCUUCAUCUUCUGUCAUGCUGAGGAGCAGCGAGUCCACGCCAUCUCAACCUCGGAGACCCAGGGCCAUUUAGGAUGCCCCAGCAGUCUGCUCCAGCCCCAAACCUGUCGCCCUGCAUUUAAACAACCC